Molecule: transfer-messenger RNA, 352 nt
Filed under: Pseudobdellovibrio exovorus
Lineage: Bacteria; Pseudomonadati; Bdellovibrionota; Bdellovibrionia; Bdellovibrionales; Pseudobdellovibrionaceae
Also listed under: 1 other name
Description: Standard tmRNA
Rfam family: transfer-messenger RNA
About the family: Bacterial tmRNA, also known as 10Sa RNA or SsrA, is named for its dual tRNA and mRNA-like properties. Its role is to liberate the mRNA from a stalled ribosome.
Source: RNAcentral
GGGGGCGACAAGGCUUCGACGUGGACGCUGAAGUAAGAGGAGCAUACCGGGGCGCAUGAGGACCUCGUUAAAAACGUGCAAACUUGUACUAUCAAACGAUAGCUACGCUUUAGCAGCUUAGUUCUGCUACGAUGGUUAGGCGAAUCGCCGGUGUUGGUUUAACUCAUCGUCAUUAAUGCCGGAUCGGUCUGCAUGGUUUUCUCCAGCGUGCAGGCCUAAGAGUUUCUGGGGGAAUGUUAGUGGUCAGUUUGUCUUUGGACGUGCCGCUAACAAAUUAAAACAGAGACUAAGUAUGUAGCGCCUCUUCAUGGAUCGUUUGCGGACCCGGGUUCGAUUCCCGGCGCCUCCACCA